Molecule: ribosomal RNA, 497 nt
Filed under: uncultured bacterium
Lineage: Bacteria
Description: partial 16S ribosomal RNA
Rfam family: Bacterial small subunit ribosomal RNA
Source: RNAcentral
GAUGAACGCUGGCGGCGUGCCUAAUACAUGCAAGUCGAGCGAACGGACGAGAAGCUUGCUUUUCUGAUGUUAGCGGCGGACGGGUGAGUAACACGUGGAUAACCUACCUAUAAGACUGGGAUAACUUCGGGAAACCGGAGCUAAUACCGGAUAAUAUUUUGAACCGCAUGGUUCAAAAGUGAAAGACGGUCUUGCUGUCACUUAUAGAUGGAUCCGCGCUGCAUUAGCUAGUUGGUAAGGUAACGGCUUACCAAGGCAACGAUGCAUAGCCGACCUGAGAAGGUGAUCGGCCACACGGGGACUGAGGCGCGGUCCAGACUCCUGCGGGAGGAAACAGAAGGGAAUCUUCCGCAAUGGGCGAAAGCCUAACAGAGCAAAGCCGCGUGAGUGAUGAAGGUCUUCGGAUCGUAGAACUCUGUUAUUAGGGAAGAACAUAUGUGUAAGUAACUGUGCACAUCUUGACGGUACCUAAUCAGAAAGCCACGGCUAACUACGUG